Populus euphratica (Euphrates poplar) is the source of this 647-nucleotide long non-coding RNA. RefSeq lists it as uncharacterized. The transcript has 2 exons. The record is from RefSeq and is a predicted model, not a curated record. NCBI's taxonomy places the organism in Eukaryota, Viridiplantae, Streptophyta, Magnoliopsida, Malpighiales, Salicaceae.
AAACACCUGUAAAUUUUGAUCUCGGCAAUCAUGGAACGCCCGAGUCCCUUCGAAACCACUUGCUGACCACGCCAGAUUUCUCCGAGACUACCCCACCCAAUUAACUAUCAAAUUUUCUAGGCGCCGAAGAUUAAUGCGCGUGGGUUAGGAGCCAACAUUGGCUUUGAUUCUUUCAUUUGUCUAAUGAAUAUAACCUCCAAACACAGGAAUAAAGGUUGAGUGAUAUCAUGAACUUAUCCGACUUGAACUUUUGAUAAGUUCUCCACUCCAUGAAGUUAUUUUACAAUGCUGAAGGGGGCCCUCAUGUGGGGUUAGAAGGCAUGAUCACUCUCCCCCACCAUCACAUUCAACACAUCAAAUUAAGGCAAGAUGCAUGGAGUCUUCAAGAUCAUUUAAAUGGAGACCAUGCUUUUGCGUUUUAACUCCUUCUCUCUCUCUUGUAGCUAUCAAAAGGUAGUAGAAACAAUGGAAAUAAUAAUUCAUUGAUUAUAGUUUAAAAAAGGGAUCAAAAUAACAAAAACAAAGGAAAUGAUCCUGAAAACAUGAGAUGUGAUCAAAACCCUAAACAAUCUUACAUCAAAUUACAAGCACGCAUGGUACUUAUAAUAUUUGCAGUAAACCGAGGUUUUUUUUUUUUCAAAAGGGAA